AUUUAUGGAUCAAAUUCUUAUCUGAAUAAUAGUGAAACUAGGGAUCAAAUCCUAAAUUAUCUGAUAUAAACCUUCACGGAGGCCUAGAUAUGCAGACCCUCUACUUCGCAUGCACGUCAGACGCCGCUGGAAAGCAGGAUGAACUCCAAUCCAAUUGACUUCACAUAUACAAUUAAUCGAGGGAUGAUAUAUAAUGAUGUGACACUUCAAAUCAGUAGAUAGGAUGCCCAAGAAGGAUCUACACCC
RNAcentral lists this long non-coding RNA (246 nucleotides) under Elaeis guineensis (African oil palm). Its description in RNAcentral is "long non-coding RNA (EGUI_LNC076944)". The record is from RNAcentral. Lineage: Eukaryota; Viridiplantae; Streptophyta; Magnoliopsida; Arecales; Arecaceae.